Long non-coding RNA from Panthera uncia (snow leopard), 1562 nucleotides. RefSeq lists it as uncharacterized. The record is from RefSeq and is a predicted model, not a curated record. The transcript is spliced from 3 exons. Lineage: Eukaryota; Metazoa; Chordata; Mammalia; Carnivora; Felidae.
UCAAGGUGCGGGCGGGGUCGGUUCCUUCCGGAAACUUUCUCCCAGCCUUUGGUGGUUGUGGGCCAUCCUCCGCUUGUAGAUGCUUCCCUGGCUGCGUCUCAUCACGUGGCCUUCCCUCUGCGUCUGUGUCUCUGUGUGUCCUCCUCUCUUCCCACAAGGACGCCGCUGGGUUGAAGGCCUCCCCCUAUUCCUGUCUGACUUCCUCCUGGUUACCUGCAAGGAUCGUAUUUGCAAAUAAGGUUACAUUCCGAGGUUCUGGGUGGACGUGAACCCUGUGGGGACUCUAUUCUGCCCAGUACACAGCACCACAAGGUGGAGGGAGCUUGGGUCCCUGACACUGAGGCACACCAGGCCAGGCUGCUCUAAAUGCCUACAGACGUGAUGAACAGAGGGAAGCAAACCUCUACCUUAUUUAAGCUACUAUCACUUUGAUUGUCCAGGGAGAUCUGUGGUCACUUCUAACUCAUGCGAAUAUAGCCCCUCAGAACCCCUCAUGCCAUCUACACAUUUCUCUUGGGGGCAUUCAUGAGUGGGGCGCUUGAAAGGAAGCUGAGUUCUCUUUAUAAUUGGGCACAGGGUGAAAACCCGACACAGCCUGAGGAGGAGAGGCAGCUGACAUCCGCCCGGAUGAUGUGUCUACCGAGAAGCACUUCCUGCGCUGAGCACUCUGAUUUGGGAGCACUGAGGAGGGAGACAAGCAUCCAGGGGUAGGACUGGGCAGGGAGGCAAGAAUGAGCUGCGAUGAAUCAUCACCCUGUCCUGUGCCUCCGUCUCCCCCUUGAGCCUUCCCACGAGAUCCCUUCCCGGAGGAACCUACCAAAAGGCUGGGUAGAGCCUGCCGACGACGCAGCCAGCGGAGGCCAGCCUGCUGCGAGGAACAGACGGGGAGGCCUCAGAGGGGCUCCCCACUGAGGAUGCCUAGCUGCCCUGGGUGGCGAGUCUCCAACUUCCCAGACGUCCUUGUUAGCCUCAUGUUUUGUAACGUCCUCCUUCCUAUCCUAAAAUGAAAUUCCCAGGUAAUUUAACCUGUUUGGCCACAUGACUUUAAAAUAAUCAUUAUAAUGCCCUAACUGUAAUAAAAAGAAGAAAUCAAAGGAAAGUGAUUUGUAAAAACCAAACCUAUUUCCGCAUGUAAGCACCUGGGCCCGUUACACCAGUCUGAUGCGUGUGGCCUUCAGGCAGCCAGCGCCCUGCGGCUGGUGCACGUGUGCCGUGGUAGCAACUUGGGUCCCCGGUGCUGUGGCCAUUUUCGAUGCGAGUUUUCCACACGAUGAGCGGCUCUCGGUAAAGGUCUGAAGCGAACCAAGACCAGUGUCACCGCAGCCACGCUCUUCAACAGUCCGGUGUGGCAGGCUCCCCCCAGGCGUGCCGCUUGCGUUCCCCCAACAUCGUGGAAAUGCCCCCAGUCACCCCAAAAUGCCCCCACCAAUGUGUGAAAUGCCUCCCUCCUCGGGGCAGCUGUGCCCCUUGUCUGAAAACCACUGCUUCGGGCCCUGGGUGUGGUGGGCAUAGGAACGUGAAUUGACCAAGUCCAGCUAAAGGCAUGGCCGUGGCAAGAGCAA